Aegilops tauschii subsp. strangulata is the source of this 508-nucleotide non-coding RNA. NCBI's taxonomy places the organism in Eukaryota, Viridiplantae, Streptophyta, Magnoliopsida, Poales, Poaceae. The record is from RefSeq and is a predicted model, not a curated record.
CUUUUCAGGAAAUGGCGGCCGGCAGGUGUCCUCAAUGGCCAUCAGCAGAGGGUCCUCCAGCACAACCAGUGCUGCUGACCUUUGAGGAGUUUGUGGCACAGAACGCUGGCCCCUCGCCGGGAACAGGUGCAUCUACCGUUGGCGGUGGUCUUCGCAACACUCCCGAGACACGGAGCCCGACCACUCCGAUCCACGGAGCCGGAGGCGGAGGCGAACGUGGAGGCGGUCUUGGCGGUAGCGCUGCCGCUAGCAGUGACGACCUGGGCUUCGGCGGUCUUGGCGGUGACGACCUCCGCGGUGCUCGACGUCUUGGCGCUUAAGCCUUUCGGGCACAUUUUGCCGGUUCUCGAUGCUAUGAUACUUAUAUGCUUGUGAUGUUUCUUAUCUUAUUGUUGUUUGUGAGAUUCUUAUAUGCUUGGUGGUGAUGAUACUUAUAUGUUUAUGCUUUGCGAUGCUUCUUAUGAUGUGUGAUGAUGAAUUUGUUGUGUGAUGCUGCUCCUUAUUGUUA